UUUUAGUCUAUGCCUUCCUUGGUGACUAGUUUGUAACCAAGGAAGUGGCCAGAUUACUCAGUAUUCCCCAUGAUUUUUACAUAAGCCAGGGGUAUAGAGAAGAAGGGAGAAGAGGCCUUUGCCCUCUUCCCUUCUGGUGGCUCCGGAGGUGCAAGUUCCCUGCUGUUGGUUCUGCCGUGUGGGGAAGUGGGGCCUAGCGAGGCCUGGUAGGACCCUGGGAGGCGGAAGGUGCCAGCGGUUGUCCAGCGCGAUUGUACUGUCCCAAGGAGAGUAAACUACAUCAAACAUAAAUCAAGUUCUAUCUCAGAGACUGCAUGAAAAUCAAAUCAUGCAUGGAUCUUGUUUUAUUUGCUGAGAACAGGCAUCUCCAGACUAUGUUUAGAGCUUCUAGGGGAUGCAACUGAAGAGGUAUAAAUUAAGGAAAUCAGAGAAGUCCCUCAAGCGGAGUGCAUUAAAGGUGGCAGAACAAAGAUCUUGAAGAGACCUCAUCAAACACAGACAAUAUUCAGCAUUAAUUCAGUGUCCAUGCAGAUGGACAGGAAAUAAGGCCUGAGCGACAACUUUAUUUGAAUCACAGAAUGGGUCAGGUUGAGAGGGAUCACAGUGGAUCAUCUGGUCCAACCUCCCUGCUCAAGCAGGGUCAUCCUUGAGCACCUGGCACAGAAUUGCAUCCAGACGGCUCUUGAAUAUCUCCGGUGAGGGAGACUCCACAACUUCUAUGGGGAACCUGUUCCGGUGCCUGGUCACUGCACAGUAAAGAAAUUCUUCCUCAUAUUCAGAUGGAAUUUCCCAUUCAUCAGGUUCUGCCUGUUGCCUAAUAAGUCUAAUAAGACUGACACAGAGGCAGAAACUGUGACAAUUAAGACCAAGGACAUCAAUUUCUCACUAUUGACUGAUGCAGAAGAUUUUAAGCAUGGACCUGAUAUGCAGGUGGUAAUAGGCUUGAAGAAUAUGAGGAUUAUCUGGCUGCCUCAGUAACUUGCAGAAAUAGAAGCUGGCAAGAAAGAUAAAAUCUUAUCUUUGGUUUAUCAUCCCUAGGAUGUUCACCUCAUCCACUUUUUGUAAAGAGUCAGACAGAAAUCAGCCUAGAGGUACACAGAGAUGGCUGAAGCUCUCUUCUAAAACAAAACAAAAGCUAUCAGCAAAACUAUGCAGCUAACUUAUCAGGUAUUCUGAUUCUGGCUUAUACCUUAGGAUGGGCCUUCCAGAGAGAAAGUUAAUGACAGACAGGUAAUAUUGGAGAUAUAACUAGCACCUUUUGGCAUCUGGAAGGGUGCUGUGGUGUAUUUUGGUUUUCUUAACGAAAGAGGGCCUUUCUUCUAGCUGCUACUAUAAUGAUUGGUGAAAUGUGGAAGCUCACUAAAGGUUCAUGCAUUACACUAGAAUUUAUUUUACUGAUUAAAGUAGCAAGUGGCAAGAUAGUUAAGAGCAAGAAGAUUGGUGUUUGUGCAGAAGCAUAUGAGAGACACAAAUAAGGCGAUCUGCAUAAUACACUCUAGUGGAAGUUCCUUUUCAAUUUAGCUCUUCUACAUGGAAAGUUCAUUAUGGUAUUUCUUUUAUAACUUACAUCUCUUCCAGAGUAGCAGAAUAAAACAAUUGAUGGUGCAGUAGUAGACAUCUUUUUUUACAUCUUCAUGUGAGAG
Long non-coding RNA from Pseudopipra pipra, 1643 nucleotides. RefSeq lists it as uncharacterized. Lineage: Eukaryota; Metazoa; Chordata; Aves; Passeriformes; Pipridae. The record is from RefSeq and is a predicted model, not a curated record. The transcript is spliced from 6 exons.